This is a long non-coding RNA of Ornithodoros turicata, 875 nucleotides long. RefSeq lists it as uncharacterized. The transcript is spliced from 3 exons. NCBI's taxonomy places the organism in Eukaryota, Metazoa, Arthropoda, Arachnida, Ixodida, Argasidae. The record is from RefSeq and is a predicted model, not a curated record.
ACGACCGUUGGUGAAGGAGGACGAAGUGGUUGUUGUAAAUCUCGUGAAUGCACGUAGUCAGGUAAGCACAUUUCUGUUCGCACGUCCUGUUGUUUGCGAUUUGAGCGUGUGUGCACCAUAUACCUGGUUUUUGUUCAACUUAUAGGACACCAGUAAAUCGUGGCACGCGUUUGCUGUGAAGCGUCUCCCUAGUUCAGAUCUCAUGCGUCCUGGCUCGUAGGGUCAUCAAGGCGCUCUUAUUGUAAUGUGUCGUUGCCCUUGUGUUUUUAACUCUUAUGGGCUACGUUGACCACUGUAGACAUGUACAUGAAGCGGGCAGAAUACCGUGCUGUCAUGCAUUAUGUGUGUACACGGCGGCGAACUAUGCAACACUCAGAUGUCACGGAUGUUUGGAACGUUACAAGAACACACCAGGACGGUCGCCUCGAAUCAAUUUGCUCUCCGAAACCACGAAAGUAUGUCACGUCCAUUCGUGCUCCCGUCUGUUCACUACAAAUAUAGAGGUACUGUCACAUAUGAAGCAGCACAUACGAGAGGGCCAUGAUCAGAUAUCCUUAUGAACGCUGCCAGAAGAAGUUCCGUGCCGUCUCCGCGUUUUCUGUGCACCUUCUUAUGUUCUUCCUUUGAAACAAUAAAACGGUGAGUAUAAUUUCCUUUCUCUUUACAGGGUUUUGAUGCCAGAGCUGACUGAUGGGUGCACAUGGUUCCCUCGUAUGUUCUUCCAUUGAAAAAAUAAACGCGUCUUGAUGCCAGAGCUGACUGACGGGUGCACAUGGUUCAUUCGUAUGCUCUUCCUUUGAAAAAAUAAAUGGGUUUUGAUGCCACAGGUGACUAGCGCAUUUUCAUCACUAUGUACAUAGAAAAUAAAUCCCAAU